AACUGGCAUAAUGGCCAUAGCAGUGCUCAUGUCACGGCCCCAUCAGAUUCUAACGAAUCUGCGAAUUCUGCU
This 72-nucleotide ribozyme is filed under the name Crocodylus porosus (Australian saltwater crocodile). Its description in RNAcentral is "Mammalian CPEB3 ribozyme (ENSCPRG00005003469.1)". It matches the Rfam family "Mammalian CPEB3 ribozyme". Rfam says of the family: The mammalian CPEB3 ribozyme is a self cleaving RNA located in the second intron of the CPEB3 gene which belongs to a family of genes regulating messenger RNA polyadenylation. This ribozyme is highly conserved and found only in mammals. The record is from RNAcentral. Lineage: Eukaryota; Metazoa; Chordata; Crocodylia; Crocodylidae.